GCCUGGGUGGCUCAGUCGGAUGAGCAUCAGACUUUGAUCAUCAGGUCAUAAUCUCAUGGUUCGUGAGUUCGAGCCCCACAUCAGGCU
This 87-nucleotide transfer RNA is filed under the name Felis catus (domestic cat). It matches the Rfam family "tRNA". Rfam says of the family: Transfer RNA (tRNA) molecules are approximately 80 nucleotides in length. Their secondary structure includes four short double-helical elements and three loops (D, anti-codon, and T loops). Lineage: Eukaryota; Metazoa; Chordata; Mammalia; Carnivora; Felidae. The record is from Rfam by way of RNAcentral.